UCUCCGUCAAAAAAUAAAAUCUUAAAAAAAAAAAAAAGAAGAGGCAGGAGACAGUUUAUUCCACAAAACAAACAACCUAGCUGCCUGGCCUGCCCGCAGGAGACCCAGAGCUCUUUGCACACACGCAGUCUGGAACGCUCACGGGCUGUGUGCACACUCACAGGCUCUGGAAGGCAUGCAUGGGAUCUGUACACACUUGCAGAGGCUCUGUGUGUCCACAGUUUAGAAAACACCCCCAGAGUCUGGCUGAGUCAUGCUCCAGGGUCGUUUGUCUUCAGGUGAAGUUCCAUCUUGUCCUAAUUUGUGCAAUUAGGGGGCCCCCCAUGCUACAGUGCACCUUGGAGUUCACGUGGCUCACCCCUCUUCCAUUUUACACCUUACAAGAGUGAGGCCAAGUGGGAUCGGGUGAUUUAUCUAAGGCCACAUAGCUGACAAGCAAAUUUUCUUUUGAGUUACAGAGUUUAGAGUUUGGAGGUGACAGAGAUUUGGGGGGGGGCGACUUAAAGCCGGGGAGGACUUGUAGGAAAGGGGGACAGGCUUUUGAGUCUUAAAGGCUUGACCUCAUGUCCAGCUCAGCCUCUGUCUAAUUGUGUGCCCUUUGACAAGUUACUAAACCUCUCUGAGCUCCAGCUCCCUUUGCUUUACAGUAAGAGUCAUCAAGCCUACCCUGCAAGCUUGUCGCCAGGCUUGUGAACCACAUCGAUCACAAUGCUAUUUCAUGACACCUAGCAUGGGCCAGGCUCUCUAUGCUUGUUGCUGGGGAGGCUAGGGCAGCUGGGGGUGUCUGGGGAGUUAGCACAUGGGGUAAGAUGAGAAAAACUGGUGUGUCCUGGGACCGGAAUCUUGGGAAUGCAGAAGAGAGGCACUGUGGUGCGUGUGGGGGUCCAGAUGGGGCACUGAAGAUUUCCUAGAAUUAGAAGGAUGAGUAAAACUUACCCAGGCAAGGAGAAAGGGAAAGGAGGUUCGAUUCCAUUGAGAGAACGGCUCCUUGGUGUAAAAGGAAGAAAUUCAAACACACCUGAGAAAUGCAAGUACCUACCCAUUUACUAACAGCGUAAUAAAUUACUGCUUUGGGCCUUCGACCUGCAGCGCACCCCAAGCCCCCCAGCUGAGAUUCACCCCCAUUGUGUCAUCAGUGUAUCGAAUGCACCACGGUGGAUGGUUGCCAAAGCCAUGCUUGAGGAUAGCAGGUCAUCAGGAGUAAAGUGGGAGACACUGAUUGCUGUUUUCCAGGAUGAACUGGGAUAAAGAAGGUGCAGUGCUUGACAUCAAGACUAAUACAUGAGAAGCCCUCAGUAAAUGAUAAUCACUAGUGUUGGUGAUCUUUGGGACAAACUCAAAAGCUAAGUGAGUGAGCCAAAAAGAGGCUUUACCACGGCGAAGAGGCUGGUAAUAAAAUUUAGGGGCGAGUCGGCCAGACCAUACUUCAAAACAAUUAAAAAGAAGGUGUCUCCAGGGCCAGGAGGGGGCUCGUUUGCUCAUUUUAUAUCCCCAGUGUCUAAGCACAUAAUAGACAUUACGAGUGAGCCCUGAAUGAACGGUUCGUAGCCCUUGGCCAGCACCCAGGAGAGAGAGUUGGGUGGCAGGCAGUUCCAGGAAGACACUCUUCCAUGGGUUAUUCUGGCCAAGAAAGGGCAACAGAACCUGGAACAUCAUCAGGAACUGGGUCAUUUGUGAAACUAGCAAACACAUGGAAACCCAGCAACACAUUUCUGGAAAGAGUACAGAGAGCAGAAAGUUCAGGAGAGACCAGUCUGGGGGCAGAGAAGAAGAGGAAAACCUUGGGGGAAGAGUCCUGGAGGGUCUGUGGCAAGAAACAUCCUUGUUCCACAGUUCACACCUUUGACCUUAAACUUCAUCAGAGAAUCUGUCUCACUGUGUACCAGCAGCUUAUGUAGUUCACUCUUGCAUUCAAACAAGGAUGAGGGGCUUCCCACUCAAGAAGAGGAAUCCAGGAUGCUCAGGAUGGUCUUCGAUCUGACCAGGGAAGGGACAGCCAAGGUCA
Molecule: long non-coding RNA, 2005 nt
Organism: Zalophus californianus (California sea lion)
Lineage: Eukaryota; Metazoa; Chordata; Mammalia; Carnivora; Otariidae
Exons: 3
Source: RefSeq, a predicted model, not a curated record